CAUCACAUCUUUUUUUCAUAUGUAUGUUUCGAUUUUGCCCAUAUUUUCCCACUGCUAGGUUUAUCUUUUGGGUUUUUCUUCAUCCGUCAUCGUUAUGAAAUUCAAUUUCUGUUGUUUCUAUAGUUUGAGUGUAAAUUGGAUAUCACGCUUUUCUCCUUCUUCCUUUACAUUCAAAGAGUAUUUCUACAACAGUUUGUGCUUGUCUUCAAUAAUGUUUAUGUUCUUGCUGCAGGUAAUCGAAGGGGACAGAUAGUAAGGAAGGAAAAAUCAAAGAUGAAAUUCAUAUGAGUCUGCCCUUCUUUUCGUGAGGACCCAUAUGAAUCUUGAGCCAUGGGAGAAUAACAAUAACUUCAGAAGGUUGUAGGAUUUUGAGAAUUCCAGAACUUUGCUGCAAAAGCAAUUAACCCAAUCUGAAGGGUAACCAGCAAGAAGUCAAAUGUCUCUGUGAAAAAAUACUAAGCAGCAACAGUCACCAAUCACUGAAAGUAAGGCGUAUGUUACUGAAAUAUUUUAGCCAUCUGUAUAAUUGAAUUCUAAGCACACAAGUCUCAAUUUUACCUUUAUGCUUAAAGUAGGUAUCCCUGUUCUUCGAAUACCUGGUGAAAAAAAUAGUAGAAAAUAUUUUUUUCCUGCCAAUAUUGAACAAAUUAUUAGCAAGUACAUGACAAAUCUCCCGAUACUUAGCUGAAAGCAGCAAUUCAGACGACAUUGCGUUCGUUUAUUUGUUGAAAAGACAAUAUUUCUCCUCUCUAUAGUUAUUAAGCUCAUUCUAAUUUCAAGUUGUAACUAAAUAUCUUGGUGCUUUUAAAAUUGAUUACGAAUUUGUAGCAUGCUCUUCUUGAAUCCCUAGAUGAGAUGUUUUAUGUUGUAGUAAUAAGUAUGGUCGGCUCAAGCUUUUUUAUAUUUAUAGUAAAGAAGCAUCCAUAGAUGCACACAUACCAGCCAACGAGGUGAUUUGCAAAUCAAAAGAGGUGUGUGAUCAAGUCAGUUGAAUGGUUGAUCCCGCAUCUAUUGCAGUUUUCAUGGGGAUGUAUAGAACAUACAUAGAGCUGAGGUAAAAUUCUUACUAUACUCCAUAUUUACUGGCUUUAUAUAGCCAACAACUCUCUCUGCCGUAGAAUACUACUUCUGUUUGACUAUCUUUCGUAGAAGGUCUAUAUGCAGCCUAACUAAUGAAAUUGCACUAUAUAGCUUGCAGAAGCCAAUUCUGUUGUCAACAAAUAUGUCAUUUCAAAAUUCUUUGCUUUGGUACAGUUUGUCUGUAACAUCUGUUGUAUUGCUGACUUCAGGAAGAUGCACCAACUGACUGUUUUUAGUGUUUUCUGGAGCUUAUUGAUGGAGACAGGUUUUCGAAGGAAAAGAGGUUGCAGUUGACUGUGUUGUAUGUUCACAUUUUUGGCAUAAAAUGUUGAGAUCUUUUGGAACUGCCUACUUUAUUCUCUUAUAGAACACUUGCUGCUUUUCAUGAAAUGAAUAUAUAUUUCCUACUUUGAUAGAGGAGAUUUUUGUUGGUAGUAGUUAAUGCUCCUUGGAUACUUGCGCAGAAGUCAUAGAUUUUGUACUUGGCAUAAUGUGAUCAGUACCAUAUGCAUUAUGAAA
This is a long non-coding RNA of Lycium ferocissimum, 1599 nucleotides long. RefSeq lists it as uncharacterized. Lineage: Eukaryota; Viridiplantae; Streptophyta; Magnoliopsida; Solanales; Solanaceae. The record is from RefSeq and is a predicted model, not a curated record. The transcript is spliced from 2 exons.